CAGGGGGUAUUUUAUGUUUUAAAAUAUUAGUUUUGGGGAUUAAUGAAAUGGUAUUUCGCCUUUCCUCUGA
This 70-nucleotide transfer RNA is filed under the name Amitermes sp. A TB-2017. Its description in RNAcentral is "tRNA-Pro". Lineage: Eukaryota; Metazoa; Arthropoda; Insecta; Blattodea; Termitidae. The record is from RNAcentral.